AGAGUUUGAUCCUGGCUCAGAUUGAACGCUGGCGGCAGGCUUAACACAUACAAGUCGAACGGUAACAGGAAGGAAGCUUGCUUUCUUUGCUGACGAGUGGCGGACGGGUGAGUAAUGCUUGGGAAUCUGGCUUAUGGAGGGGGAUAACUACGGGAAACUGUAGCUAAUACCGCGUAAUAUUCUUCGGAUUAAAGGGUGGGACCGUAAGGCCACCUGCCAUAAGAUGAGCCCAAGUGGGAUUAGGUAGUUGGUGGGGUAAAGGCCUACCAAGCCGACGAUUCUUUAGCUGGUUCUGAGAGGAUGACCAGCCACACUGGAACUGAGACACGGUCCAGACUCCUACGGGAGGCAGCAGUGGGGAAUAUUGCACAAUGGGGGGAACCCUGAUGCAGCCAUGCCGCGUGAAUGAAGAAGGCCUUCGGGUUGUAAAGUUCUUUCGGUGAUGAGGAAGGCGGUUGUUUUAAUAGAACAAUCGAUUGACGUUAGUCACAGAAGAAGCACCGGCUAACUCCGUGCCAGCAGCCGCGGUAAUACGGAGGGUGCGAGCGUUAAUCGGAAUGACUGGGCGUAAAGGGCACGCAGGCGGUGACUUAAGUGAGAUGUGAAAGCCCCGGGCUUAACCUGGGAAUUGCAUUUCAUACUGGGUCGCUAGAGUAUUUUAGGGAGGGGUAGAAUUCCACGUGUAGCGGUGAAAUGCGUAGAGAUGUGGAGGAAUACCGAAGGCGAAGGCAGCCCCUUGGGAAUAUACUGACGCUCAUGUGCGAAAGCGUGGGGAGCAAACAGGAUUAGAUACCCUGGUAGUCCACGCUGUAAACGCUGUCGAUUUGGGGAUUGGGCUUUAAGCUUGGUGCCCGUAGCU
Molecule: ribosomal RNA, 859 nt
Filed under: uncultured bacterium
Lineage: Bacteria
Description: bacterial SSU rRNA
Rfam family: Bacterial small subunit ribosomal RNA
Source: RNAcentral